Molecule: ribosomal RNA, 484 nt
Filed under: uncultured bacterium
Lineage: Bacteria
Description: partial 16S ribosomal RNA
Rfam family: Bacterial small subunit ribosomal RNA
Source: RNAcentral
AUUGAACGCUGGCGGCAGGCCUAACACAUGCAAGUCGAGCGGAUGAAGGGAGCUUGCUCCUGGAUUCAGCGGCGGACGGGUGAGUAAUGCCUAGGAAUCUGCCUGGUAGUGGGGGAUAAUGUCCGGAAACGGGCGCUAAUACCGCAUACGUCCUGAGGGAGAAAGUGGGGGAUCUUCGGACCUCACGCUAUCAGAUGAGCCUAGGUCGGAUUAGCUAGUUGGUGGGGUAAAGGCCUACCAAGGCGACGAUCCGUAACUGGUCUGAGAGGAUGAUCAGUCACACUGGAACUGAGACACGGUCCAGACUCCUACGGGAGGCAGCAGUGGGGAAUAUUGGACAAUGGGCGAAAGCCUGAUCCAGCCAUGCCGCGUGUGUGAAGAGGGUCUUCGGAUUGUAAAGCACUUUAAGUUGGGAGGAAGGGCAGUAAGUUAAUACCUUGCUGUUUUGACGUUACCAACAGAAUAAGCACCGGCUAACUUCGUG